GGGACCCGCACAAGCGGUGGAUGAUGUGGUUUAAUUCGAUGCAACGCGAAAAACCUUACCCACCUUUGACAUGUACGGAAGCCUUUAGAGAUAGAGGCGUGCUCGAAAGAGAGCCGUAACACAGGUGCUGCAUGGCUGUCGUCAGCUCGUGUCGUGAGAUGUUGGGUUAAGUCCCGCAACGAGCGCAACCCUUGUCAUUAGUUGCUACAUUCAGUUGGGCACUCUAAUGAGACUGCCGGUGACAAGCCGGAGGAAGGUGGGGAUGACGUCAAGUCCUCAUGGCCCUUAUAGGUGGGGCUACACACGUCAUACAAUGGCUGGUACAAAGGGUUGCCAACCCGCGAGGGGGAGCUAAUCCCAUAAAGCCAGUCGUAGUCCGGAUCGUAGUCUGCAACUCGACUACGUGAAGUCGGAAUCGCUAGUAAUCGUGGAUCAGAAUGUCACGGUGAAUACGUUCCCGGGUCUU
Molecule: ribosomal RNA, 466 nt
Filed under: uncultured Rhodoferax sp.
Lineage: Bacteria; Pseudomonadati; Pseudomonadota; Betaproteobacteria; Burkholderiales; Comamonadaceae
Description: bacterial SSU rRNA
Rfam family: Bacterial small subunit ribosomal RNA
Source: RNAcentral